This 2746-nucleotide small RNA is filed under the name Rattus norvegicus (Norway rat). RNAcentral's name for it is "uncharacterized LOC102556133". Lineage: Eukaryota; Metazoa; Chordata; Mammalia; Rodentia; Muridae. The record is from RNAcentral.
AACAAACAAAAAACCAACCUGGCUAUUCCUAGGAAUGAUAAAAUAUCUUCCUUUGUAGAAGGAACAGUUAGAGAAUGGAUCAGAAUCUUUCUAUCUAGGGUAAUAGCUUUUUAGGUUGGGGUAAUUGUUCGUCCCAAAUAGAUGACCAAAGGACUGGACUUUAGAAGGUGAGACCCUGUAACCUUUACUGAAAAUGAAAUUCAGAAGAGCAGAGGUGUCAGUUUGGCAAAUUUUUUGAGAGGGGUUACACAGAAGAAUGCAAUCUAUAUAGUGGACAGUCCUAGAUUUAGGGAGAGAAAGAGAGAAGGUAAUUCAGAAACCAGGGCCUGGCCAAAUUGGUGUGGGCUGUGCUGGAAUCUCUGAGGUAGAACAGUCCAGGUAAGUUGUGUAGAAAAGUGGGUGUCAGGAUCUGUUCAGGAAAAGGCAAAUAUGUUCUGUGACUGGGUAUCUAGAGGGAUAGAGAAAGUAGCAUCCGGAGAUCUAAGAUUGAGAAAUGAGAAUUCCCCAAGGGGAUAGUGGGAAGAAGUGUAUAAGGAUUAGCCACAACAGGAUGUACAGGAACUAUGGCAGAAUUAAUGGACCUGAGGUUUUGAACCAGGAGAUAGGUUCCACUAAGUUUCCUAACUGCUAAUGUAGGGGUUUUAAAGGGGGAAGAGGUAGGGCAAAGGAGGUUUUUCCUUAAGAGAUCAGAGGUGAUAUACUUAAGGCCCCUGAGGCUCUGGAGUGAAAGCAGGUAUUGAGGUUGGGUGAUGUACCUGGUAGAAUUCAGUAAUUGCUUGACAACAGGAGAAUGUUUAGCAGCAGAGGGGUUCUGGACAUCCCUGACAAGGAGGUCUACUUGAGAAGCUGGCCAGAAGUCAACUUGCAUUAGAAAAUGUGCUAUUACCAAGAAGCAUGUCACCAAGACAACCGAAUAGAACUGUCCAGAGUAUGUCCUUCUGCAGAAAUAUCAAUUGAGACAACUAUCCAGGCAUGAAAUACCUUCAUAAGAACUAAACAAAACAGGGAAAGCUCCUUAAACCAGAAGAGAGUUGUGGCAAAAAAAGACACACUCAACCAAGAGUUGCGAUGAAAGCAAUGUGUCACAUGAAUUGCCAAUACUUACACUAGUUAAAAGAAGAAAGAAACAAAAGAAAAUAGAGCAUCAUUAUAUAAAAGAGUCAACUUAUCAAGCAGAACCAUCCCUUUAUUCUUCUUCUUUCCCCUACAAUGAAGUGAUUCUUUACAACAUCCUGUGCUCCUUUUAAAGCCCAUUGGUUCCUUGUGGUGCUGUCAGAAUGUACAUGAGGAACGUCUACUGAAGAAAGGAAAGCCUCUCAGAAGCCAAAUACCUGAAGAAAACUCACUCUGCCUCUCAUAAGAAUCCAUCAGUGGCCAAUAUCACCUCAGUGUUUCCACAGGACGUAUCCCAGAUGAUUGAGUCGGGGGAAAGUCUACAAAAGUUUGGAUGUUGAUUAUUUCCUAAUAUCCCAGAAAUGAGAGGAAAGCCUAAACAUGAUCUAGGAUUAAGGAUACCAGCUUUUGCAGAAGAACUAAAACAACUACCCAUGUCUAAACAAGCAACUACUAGACUCUUGGGCUUCCCAUUCACAACUGCCCAUUGUUGGGUUAGCUGGACUACUGACUAGUCACCAGCCAACAAACAGGCAUUAAAUUCACCAUCCUAAGGAAAUUAUUCAUACUCAAAACAUAACAGCCAAAAGUCAUGCACUUGAAGACUUCUGUCUCUACUCCUCUAUUCUACGGAUAAAGUGAAACCAUAACUUUCAGGAAAAGAAAACAUGAGAAUGUAGAUUACAAAAGUCGGAACUGACAAAAUACAUAAAGACCAUGGGAUGGAAUUUACAUUUUGAGGAUGGCAGAGUAAUGAAUCAGAAAGAGCCUUUGACACCAACGACUCACAGGAAGUCCCAACAUGUCUCCUUAAUAUCUUCAUAGUGGUCAUAUCAUUUGAAUAUGAAGAAGAAAAAGAGCAGGUGGAGCCUGACAAGAUCUUCCUGGCUGUUGACCUGCGCAGCUGGAGAAAUCACUAUUGCAGCACAGCUGGACCUGUGGGUUGUGAGAGCUGUGGCUUCGACUUUUACAGAAAAGAUUCUGCUGAAGAGAAUGAGAAGGAAGAGCAUACAUGGCCAAGAACCUGCAGGGUAUAAAAGACCCCAGCACCCAGAUGGAAAGGUGGAGCCCACCCUCUCCCAAAAUACUUCAUUUCUCCAAAAAACCGGAGCAUGUUGUACUCUGAGAGGCUCUACCCAGCAGCUGACUCAGACAGAUGCAGACACCCACAUCCAAACAGUGGAUGCAGCUUGUGGACUCUUAUGAAAGAAUAAUUGGAGGGAUUGUGAGACUGAAGAGGAUGGGACUCCACAGAAACACCAACAGAGUCAACUCACCUGGACCCUUGGGGCUCUGUGUCUGAACCACCAGCCAAAGAACAUACACUGCCUGGACCUAGGCCUCCUUGCACAUAGGUAGCAAAUGUGCUGCUUGGUCUUCAUGUGGAUCCUAAACAAGUGGAGCAGGGCCUAUCCCCAAAGCUGUUGCCCAUAUAUGGGAUAAGUCCUUUAGCUGGGCUACCUUGUCUGGCCUCAGUGGAAGAGGAAGUGUUUAGCCUAGCAGAGAUUUGAAAUGCCAAGGUUGGGGGAUACUGAGGGGCCACACCCUCUCAGAGGAGAAGGCAAGGGGAAAUUGGGGAAGGAUUAUGGGAAGGAGUGUCCUGUAGAAGAACAAUGAGCAGGAUGUAAAGUGA